This 486-nucleotide ribosomal RNA is filed under the name uncultured bacterium. RNAcentral describes it as "partial 16S ribosomal RNA". It matches the Rfam family "Bacterial small subunit ribosomal RNA", at positions 28 to 507 of the family's 1533-position model. The record is from RNAcentral.
AUUGAACGCUGGCGACAUGCCUUACACAUGCAAGUCGAACGGCAGCACGGGUGCUUGCACCUGGUGGCGAGUGGCGAACGGGUGAGUAAUACAUCGGAACAUGUCCUGUAGUGGGGGAUAGCCCGGCGAAAGCCGGAUUAAUACCGCAUACGAUCUACGGAUGAAAGCGGGGGACCUUCGGGCCUCGCGCUAUAGGGUUGGCCGAUGGCUGAUUAGCUAGUUGGUGGGGUAAAGGCCUACCAAGGCGACGAUCAGUAGCUGGUCUGAGAGGACGACCAGCCACAUGGGGAUUGGGCCAGCCCCCCCCCCCUGGCGGGGGGCGGCGUGGGGAUUUUUUGACAAGAGGCGAAAGCCUGUACCCAGCAGGCCGGCGUGUGACAAGACGCCUUCGGGGUUUAAAGGCCUUUUUGCCGGAAAAGAACCCUUUGCCCCUAUUCCGUGGGGGGGAGGCGGUUCCGGAAAAAAAAACCCCCGCCUACCCCCGUC